GGAGCUUCUGGUGGCACCAGGCCACCACACCCCAAGGAGCUGCUGGAGGAUGGACUGCCCUGAAUUCCUUGUGAGCAGCAAGAGACUGAUGAGGGCCAAGAGAGAGAAGCUGACGACCACCAACCACAUCUUGAACAGGGACCUGCUGCUGCUGCUGCCUGAGACCCUUGAUGUCCAUCUGUACCUCUCCAGGAGGGCUGCUCUGCAUGGGAGGGAGAGACCGAGGAAGAGCCUGUGAAGAUGGGGCGGCUGGGAUCCCUCUGUAUAUACUUCUAUUUAGAGAUGUGUAUAGUUAUCGUUAUACCUAGGUAGUUAUAGGUAUAUAGAUAUUUGCAUAUGUAGAUUGAUAUAUUUGUAUAGGUAUAUUUAUAUAUUUAUCUAGUUAUAUAUGUACCUAGUUGUAUUUAUGUAUGUAUCUAGUUGUAUUUAUAUAUCUAUGUUAUAUUUCUAUCUGUAUUUAGUUAUAAUUACAUAUGUGUGCAGUUGUAUAGCUAUAUAGUUAUAUUAUUCUAGUUAUAGGUAUAUGGAUUUUUAGGUGCAUAUAUUAAUAUGUAUCUAGUUAUAUUUAUGUAUGUCCAUUGCUAUAUUUAUGUAUAUUGUUAUAUUUUCAUUAUAUUUAAAUAGGUAUAGAGUUGUAUAACUGUCUAGUUAUAUUGAUGUAGUUAUAGACCUAUGGAUAUAUUGAUAUUUGUAUAUUUAUAUAUAGGUUCACUAUGUGUAUAUUUAUAUAUGUAUUUAUAUAGUAUAUUUAACAUGUAAUUAUAUUUGUAUCUAUAUUGUUAUGGUUAUGUGUAUGUAGUUAUGUUUCUGUAGGUACAGAGUUGUAUAGUUUUAUAAUUAUAUUUAUUUACUUAUAGGUACGGUGUUAUUUGGAUAGAUGUAUUGAUAUUUUUGUAUUAGUUUAUAGGCUGUACAGUUGUAGUACUCUGCAAUAAGUUAACUUUUUUAACUGCAGUUAAUAUUUGUAUAUUUUUACAUAGCAUAGUUGUAGCAAUCUAAUAAAUUGUUUUAAACUUAAAUCGAUAUUUAUGUA
Molecule: long non-coding RNA, 1033 nt
Filed under: Manacus vitellinus (golden-collared manakin)
Lineage: Eukaryota; Metazoa; Chordata; Aves; Passeriformes; Pipridae
Description: lncRNA (ENSMVIG00005018778.1)
Source: RNAcentral